RNAcentral lists this unclassified non-coding RNA (223 nucleotides) under air metagenome. RNAcentral describes it as "partial contains small subunit ribosomal RNA, internal transcribed spacer 1, and 5.8S ribosomal RNA". The stretch from base 1 to 46 matches the Rfam family "Eukaryotic small subunit ribosomal RNA", at positions 1786 to 1831 of the family's 1831-position model. The record is from RNAcentral.
AAGUCGUAACAAGGUCUCCGUAGGUGAACCUGCGGAGGGAUCAUUACCGAGUGAGGGCCUCUGGCCCGACCUCCAACCCUUUGUCGUUACCAAUCUCAGUUGCCUCGGGGGCGACCCGGCCGUCGCGUCGGGACCCCCGGUGGACCACACCACUCUGCGUUCUUGCGUCGGAGUUUGAAGGGAAAUUGAAUCAAAACUUUUAACAACGGAUCUCUUGGUUCUG